RNAcentral lists this ribosomal RNA (705 nucleotides) under uncultured Pseudomonadota bacterium. RNAcentral describes it as "bacterial SSU rRNA". It matches the Rfam family "Bacterial small subunit ribosomal RNA", at positions 56 to 780 of the family's 1533-position model. Lineage: Bacteria; Pseudomonadati; Pseudomonadota. The record is from RNAcentral.
UGCAGUCGAACGAGAAAAUCACUUCGGUGGUGACUAAAGUGGCGCACGGGUGAGUAACGCGUAGACAAUCUGCCCUUCAGUCUGGGACAACUUUUCGAAAGGAGAGCUAAUACCGGAUAACAAUGUUUUACAUAAGUUAAAUAUUUGAAAGCUUUAUGUGCUGAAGGAGGGGUCUGCGUCCCAUUAGCUAGUUGGUGAGGUAAAGGCUUACCAAGGCAACGAUGGGUAGCGGGUUUGAGAGGACGAUCCGUCACACUGGAACUGAGACACGGUCCAGACUCCUACGGGAGGCAGCAGUGGGGAAUAUUGCACAAUGGAGGAAACUCUGAUGCAGCAAUGUCGCGUGAGUGAAGAAGGCCUUUGGGUCGUAAAGCUCUUUUAUGGGGGAAGAUGAUGACGGUACCCCAGGAAUAAGCACCGGCUAACUACGUGCCAGCAGCCGCGGUAAUACGUAGGGUGCGAGCGUUGUUCGGAAUUACUGGGCGUAAAGGGCGCGCAGGCGGAAUAGCAAAUCGGAGGUGAAAGCCCGGGGCUCAACCCCGGAGGGUCUUUCGAAACUGCUAAUCUAGAGAGGGUCAGGGGCCAGCAGAAUUCCUGGUGUAGAGGUGAAAUUCGUAGAUAUCAGGAGGAAUACCGGUGGCGAAAGCGGCUGGCUGGGGCCACUCUGACGCUGAGGCGCGAAAGCGUGGGGAGCAAACGGGAUUA